UUAGACAAUUUAGCUGAACGAACGGUCUAUGUACCGACGUCAUAUCCUUCAAACGUCUGCCUUAUCAACUUUCGACGGUAGGCUAUAAGCCUACGGUGGUUAUAACGGGUAACGGAGAAUCAGGGUUUGAUUCCGGAGAGGGAGCCUGAGAAAUGGCUACCACAUCCAAGGAAGGCAGCAGGCACGCAAAUUACCCACUCCCGGCAAGGGGAGGUAGUGACGAAAAAUAACGAGCAGGUCUUUUUAUGAGUUCCUGCAUUGUAAUGGGAACAAGUUAAAUCUUUUAUCGAGGAUCUAUUGGAGGGCAAGUCUGGUGCCAGCAGCCGCGGUAAUUCCAGCUCCAAUAGCGUAUAUUAAAGUUGUUGCGGUUAAAAAG
RNAcentral lists this ribosomal RNA (376 nucleotides) under Nematoda sp. Its description in RNAcentral is "SSU rRNA". It matches the Rfam family "Eukaryotic small subunit ribosomal RNA", at positions 252 to 626 of the family's 1831-position model. The record is from RNAcentral. Lineage: Eukaryota; Metazoa; Nematoda.